Molecule: ribosomal RNA, 466 nt
Filed under: Vreelandella stevensii
Lineage: Bacteria; Pseudomonadati; Pseudomonadota; Gammaproteobacteria; Oceanospirillales; Halomonadaceae
Description: partial 16S ribosomal RNA
Rfam family: Bacterial small subunit ribosomal RNA
Source: RNAcentral
CCUACGGGGUGGCAGCAGUGGGGAAUAUUGGACAAUGGGCGAAAGCCUGAUCCAGCCAUGCCGCGUGUGUGAAGAAGGCCUUCGGGUUGUAAAGCACUUUCAGUGGGGAAGAAAGCCUUGGGGCUAAUACCCUCGAGGAAGGACAUCACCCACAGAAGAAGCACCGGCUAACUCCGUGCCAGCAGCCGCGGUAAUACGGAGGGUGCGAGCGUUAAUCGGAAUUACUGGGCGUAAAGCGCGCGUAGGCGGUCUGAUAAGCCGGUUGUGAAAGCCCCGGGCUCAACCUGGGAACGGCAUCCGGAACUGUCAGGCUAGAGUGCAGGAGAGGAAGGUAGAAUUCCCGGUGUAGCGGUGAAAUGCGUAGAGAUCGGGAGGAAUACCAGUGGCGAAGGCGGCCUUCUGGACUGACACUGACGCUGAGGUGCGAAAGCGUGGGUAGCAAACAGGAUUAGAUACCCUAGUAGUC